RNAcentral lists this non-coding RNA (23 nucleotides) under Cricetulus griseus (Chinese hamster). The record is from RNAcentral. Lineage: Eukaryota; Metazoa; Chordata; Mammalia; Rodentia; Cricetidae.
UUAACGGACCUCACUGGAAAUAG